GUCUUUUUGAAAAUAAUUUAAAGUCUAAUCUGCCCACUGAUAAAUAUUAAAGGGCUGCAGUAUAUUGACUGUACAAAGGUAGCAUAAUCAUUAGUUUUUUAAUUGAAAACUUGUAUGAAAGAUUUAAUGAAAUAAUAACUGUCUCUAAAUUAUUAAUAGAAUUUUAUUUUUUAGUAAAAAAGCAAAAAUAGAUUUAAAAGACGAGAAGACCCUAUAGAGUUUUAUAUUUAAUUUAUUUUUAAUUAAAUAUAUAAAUUAAUAUAAAAAAUAAAUAAAAUAUUAUAUUGGGGUGAUAGAAAAAUUUAAUUAACUUUUUUUAAAUUAUAAACAUUAAUAAAUGAUUUUUUGAUCCAUAAAUAAUGAUUAAAAGAUAAAAUUACCUUAGGGAUAACAGCGUAAUAUUAUUUUUUAGUUCAAAUAAAAAAUAAAGUUUGCGACCUCGAUGUUGGAUUAAGAUAAAAUUUAAAUGCAAAAGUUUAAAAGUUUGAUCUGUUCGAUCAUUAAAAUCUU
RNAcentral lists this ribosomal RNA (510 nucleotides) under Stichophthalma howqua. Its description in RNAcentral is "partial 16S ribosomal RNA". Lineage: Eukaryota; Metazoa; Arthropoda; Insecta; Lepidoptera; Nymphalidae. The record is from RNAcentral.